Molecule: ribosomal RNA, 768 nt
Filed under: uncultured bacterium
Lineage: Bacteria
Description: bacterial SSU rRNA
Rfam family: Bacterial small subunit ribosomal RNA
Source: RNAcentral
AGAGUUUGAUCCUGGCUCAGAUUGAACGCUGGCGGCAGGCCUAACACAUGCAAGUCGAGCGGUAGAGAGAAGCUUGCUUCUCUUGAGAGCGGCGGACGGGUGAGUAAUGCCUAGGAAUCUGCCUGGUAGUGGGGGAUAACGUUCGGAAACGGACGCUAAUACCGCAUACGUCCUACGGGAGAAAGCAGGGGACCUUCGGGCCUUGCGCUAUCAGAUGAGCCUAGGUCGGAUUAGCUAGUUGGUGAGGUAAUGGCUCACCAAGGCGACGAUCCGUAACUGGUCUGAGAGGAUGAUCAGUCACACUGGAACUGAGACACGGUCCAGACUCCUACGGGAGGCAGCAGUGGGGAAUAUUGGACAAUGGGCGAAAGCCUGAUCCAGCCAUGCCGCGUGUGUGAAGAAGGUCUUCGGAUUGUAAAGCACUUUAAGUUGGGAGGAAGGGUUGUAGAUUAAUACUCUGCAAUUUUGACGUUACCGACAGAAUAAGCACCGGCUAACUCUGUGCCAGCAGCCGCGGUAAUACAGAGGGUGCAAGCGUUAAUCGGAAUUACUGGGCGUAAAGCGCGCGUAGGUGGUUUGUUAAGUUGGAUGUGAAAUCCCCGGGCUCAACCUGGGAACUGCAUUCAAAACUGACUGACUAGAGUAUGGUAGAGGGUGGUGGAAUUUCCUGUGUAGCGGUGAAAUGCGUAGAUAUAGGAAGGAACACCAGUGGCGAAGGCGACCACCUGGACUAAUACUGACACUGAGGUGCGAAAGCGUGGGGAGCAA